UGAGUACAAGAUGCUACGGCAUUGAAGCAGUCUAUGUCAUACUUCCAAGAAAAGCUUGCAAUGUCAUAAACAAAUAAUGCCUGUACCAUAACCGACACAGGUGGGUAGGUAGAGUAUACUAAGGGGCGCGAGAUAACUCUCUCUAAGGAACUCGGCAAAAUGACUCCGUAACUUCGGGAGAAGGAGUACCUUAUUUUAUAAGGUUGCAAUAACAAGGUCCAAGCAACUGUUUACCAAAAACACAGGUCUCCGCUAAGUCGUAAGACGAUGUAUGGGGGCUGACGCCUGCCCAGUGCCAGAAGGUUAAAGAAGUUGGUUAGCAUUAGCGAAGCUGAUAACUGAAGCCCUGGUGAACGGCGGCCGUAACAAUAACGGUCCUAAGGUAGCGAAAUUCCUUGUCGGGUAAGUUCCGACCCGAACGAAAGGCGUAAUGAUUUGGAUACUGUCUCGGAGAGGGGCUCGGUGAAAUAGACUUGUCUGUGAAGAUGCGGACUACCUGCACCUGGACAGAAAGACCCUAUGAAGCUUUACUGUAACUUGAGAUUGAAAUUGGACUUUAUUUGCGCAGUAUAGGUGGGAGACCUCGAAAGUAUUCUUGCGGGAAUAUUGGAGUCAUCAGUGAGAUACCACUCUUAUAAUGUUAGAUUUCUAACUUUGUAUCAUUAUCUGGUCAAAGAACAGUUUCAGGCGGGCAGUUUGACUGGGGCGGUCGCCUCCCAAAUGGUAACGGAGGCGCACAAAGGUUUCCUCUGAACGUGUAGAAAUCGUAUCUAGAGUGUAAAGGCAUAAGGAAGCUUGACUGUGAGACCUACAAGUCGAGCAGGGACGAAAGUCGGUCUUAGUGAUCUGACGGUGCUGAGUGGAAAGGCCGUCACUCAACGGAUAAAAGUUACUCUAAGGAUAACAGGCUGAUCUCCCCCAAGAGUUCACAUCGACGGGGAGGUUUGGCACCUCGAUGUCGGCUCAUCGCAUCCUGGGGCGGUAGUACGUCCCAAGGGUUGGGCUGUUCGCCCAUGAAAGCGGUACGCGAGCUGGGUUCAGAACGUCGUGAGACAGUUCGGUCCAUAUCCGGUGUAGGCGUUAGAAUAUUGAGAGGAGCCUUCUUUAGUACGAGAGGACCGAGAAGGACAUACCUCUGGUGUACCAGUUAUCGUGCCAACGGUAAACGCUGGGUAGCUAUGUAUGGAGAGGAUAACCGCUGAAAGCAUCUAAGUGGGAAGCCCACCUCAAGAUAAG
This 1236-nucleotide ribosomal RNA is filed under the name metagenome. RNAcentral describes it as "bacterial LSU rRNA". It matches the Rfam family "Bacterial large subunit ribosomal RNA", at positions 1564 to 2808 of the family's 2925-position model. The record is from RNAcentral.